RNA transcript from Cryptomeria japonica (Japanese cedar), 1684 nucleotides. RefSeq lists it as uncharacterized. NCBI's taxonomy places the organism in Eukaryota, Viridiplantae, Streptophyta, Pinopsida, Cupressales, Cupressaceae. The record is from RefSeq and is a predicted model, not a curated record. The transcript is spliced from 2 exons.
UAUAGAAUUGUCUCCUUGCUCAUAAACAAUCUUUUACAUUACCAAUUCGCUCAAUAAUAAGCAGAUACGACUAACGUGGGGCACAUGGUUUACAUCUUCACUAGGCUCACUUCUUCUCCAAUAGCCCCUAAUGCUUUAAUUCACAUGGACUAUCUGAUUUUCCUUUUUUAAUUUUUUUGUAGGCGUUGUAUAAAUAGUUUUGCACUGGAUUUUGAAGUAAAAGCAAUAACAGGGAACGUCAAAAGAGCCCUUCAGAGAUUUGGACUGGUUGAGUUUAUGUUGUUGCUGAGCAAUUUGGUUGAGUAUUAUCCUGCCAAUCUCGAAGCUUAAGGCCCUUCAGAACCUCGUACUGACUUGAUUGUGUAUUCUGUCUGGUUAUGUUUACAGUGGAAUAUAGGCAGCGACAGCUCCGCAGGAAAGGUGUUGAAGUGACACCCACAAGCCCCUCUUUUCAUUUGGGCAAGCAAAAGUAAUUAUCAAUGCUGUUGAUAAAAUGGAAACUGUUCCAGAUGAAGAAAAUGAAGAGAAAAAAGUGCAAAAAGAGAAACUGGUGUGAACAGGAAGAUGGCUGGCAAUGGGAGAAGACAGGAAGCAAUGUUUCUUAGUGAUAGUGACUUUGAAUUUGGAAAUGAUGAAGAAUCUGAAUCUAAAUACAAGGAAGGCAUGCCUAAGAAGAGUGGAAGGAAGCUUGCUCAAGAGGUGGCAAAUCUGCGAAAAACAAGUGCUACAAAACCAAAUUCUAUGACAGCCCUGAAGACAAGAAAAGAGAACCAAAAAGUGGAACACAAGAACAACAGAUGAUUGAUGAAAUCCUGGACGUUACUAUAGAUGAUGUUGCUGAUAUUGUGAUCUCCCCUUACAGAAAAUAUCCUGAGCUUUCAGCAGAAAGUUAGGAAUAUGGAACCCUUUCUGGAGCAGAAAAAGUGUAUCAGUGAUGUCAAAACUGUGCCAGUAGAGUGAGACAAGUUCUCCAAGUGGAGAUGGAUUUGCUGGAUCAUUUCUUAGACCUGAAUGGUCAAUGAUUUUCCAAAGCUAGCUGCAUGAAGCAAAUUACAAAGAGCCCUUUGAGCUUCUGUGCAGUAUUUCUUGAAUGAGAGUGACAAUUUAAGGAUGAAGAUGAAGAUGGGAAGCAAUGGAAGAUUCUAAUUUUGAAUAAGAUGAUGAAUUUAGUAUUUCUCAAACCUUCAUGAAUGACAAUGUAUAAUAUGUAGUAAUGAACUUCCUAAACUUAAGAAACCAAUUUACAAAUAUGUAUAGAAACACUAAAUCCAAGUCUGAUUUUGGCCAAGCUCCUGCAUUUGCUUGCAUUUGGCAGUAAUAUAGAUGAUAUUCUUGUUCUAAUCUAAUCAGUUGAUGGUAAUUAUUUCAUCAAAUGACAAAAAUGGCUCAUGGAACAAAUCAGAUACAUUUCCUAUGUUUCUAGUCAUGUCGAGUUGCAUCCCCUAUAGCUAUGUAAAGGGGAUAUACUCACAAAAGUUUUAUGCAUGGCAGUGGUGGAUGAGUUAAAACCAUGUUUCCUUUCCUAGUACCAAUUUAAGAAGAUAUUUACUUUUGUGGCUACCCUACAAGAUACAUAGGCAAAAAUGAAGCCUCAGCAAGGCACACAAAUUAUUUGACAGAAAUCCACUAUGACAUGCAUACUCAUAAAAUAUUCUUAAUAUUUUUCAAUUGAUUAUUAUCAAUA